AACAGUGAUAUUAGGAGAAACACUUGAAAAGUGAUCCAAAUUGAACCACUGAUUUAGACAUUCCCAGAGGGGUUUGGUAAGCUGUGUCAUGCUCCACUGAAUAUUAAAGGCAAGCCCUGGAUUUUGUAUUUACAGAACACUAUUUUGAGCAGAAAGUUUGUUAGCAUCUGUACAAGUGAUGGAGACACUCUCUGCUCUCCUCAAUCUUUCAAACAGUGUGUGCUGAGAAACAAAAUUUUUAGACCACCAUUCUGAUAAAACUUCCAUUUUUUUCUCUUUUCCUGUUUUGCUAUCAUGCUGUACAUCUCUUCUCCAGUAGUUUGCAUCACGCAAUUUUUCAUGCCAAACAGUCUGUGGGGUUUGUACUGUUGGGUUUGCUGGGUAAUAAGUCAAAGCAUAUAUUUAACAUCUCAUCCUGUGAAACCUGCUUGUCCACAGGAUGCUAGGCCUUCAUUUCCCCCAAAAUUUUCCACUGGUGCUUCUGAGAUCAAGCACACGAAUAACAGAAAAUUAAGAGCUGUGCAGUGUGCAAGCUGCCUUAGGAAUAGUCUAUGUAGUCUAAUAUUUUGCUGUCUGAAUGAAUAAUGGCUAUCACUGCUGCAGGGUCUGUGAACUAAGCCCUGGGGGCUGUGGCCAUGCCUGGUUUGUCAGAAUGCAUUUUAGUAGCCAGCAGCUCCUGCUUUUAGCUGCUGGGAAAUCUGGCUGCCAGUCUCUAAGCUCUAAGGGAAGCCACAGGGAGGAGAUCUUUAUGUGUUCUCUAGGCAUGGCCAAGACUCUUAAAUUUUACCCUACAGCUCAGACUCCAGCAGAUGCACACAGGAGAUGAGAGCUGGGAGACAGCUCUGUUUUUAAAAUACAAACAGGCAUACCAGUCAUACCCAGGUAAGAAUAAGUGUUUUGUUUUGUGGUUUUUCAGGAUUCCUAUAAAGACUCCCAUGCAAGAGAAGGGGAAUAAACCUAGAUAUGUUUACUUCUUCCUCUUAUAAAACCUAUAAUGACUGAAAGAUGUGUAUCAUUUUAAGGUUAUCAAAAUAAAAUGUAUGAUAUGCUGAUCCAGUUGUGGUAAAAUUUUCACUGAAUUAAUUGAAGCCAAUAUUUUAUCUAAGGCAGAGUGUGGAGGAUGAACAAAGAACUCAUCAUUCCCUCUACUGAUGGAAAUAAACACAUCACAAUGUGCUAGUACAUGAUUAUCAGGUAAUAAACCCACGACUAUAAAGAUGGGGCUUUCUAAUUAGACUAGGGAGAAUAUAAAUAUAGCAGCACGUUGCAGCUUUUCUAGCUUUCCUAGACUGAACAGCUACCUGUAAAUAUGAGAGAAUGUGUGGAGAAAGGUCUGAACUACAGUAUACCAUUACAGUGGUGAAAAAACCAACUGCCACUGCAGUUCCUUCCCAUUUCUAUCUCAGCAUUUAUUUCUGGAACAUUGUAAGGAACAGUGGGCAGUACUCCUGUGGCCUGAUGGACAGCAAAGUUGAGUUUUUAGUUCUCAGUAGCCAUGGUCUCAUGACUUCUACCAUGCUGUGGGAUAGGCAGAAUUAUUUUCACACUUGUGAAUUUGAGUUGAUCAGAAAGUUAGGAUUUUAUUUUAUACUAACUACAGAAGAACAGGAAGGGGGGAAUUUUCUGAAGGCAUUUCUUCUGAAUGGCCUUUAUUUGUUUCCUUCUGUCAUUGUUGGCCCUAACUCGUAUCAGCCCUUAUUCUACAAUCUUCAUGCAUUUCUGGUAUCAUCUAAUGCCACAGAAGCUGGUCUGAAACAGAUUUUUAAUGUUUAGUUUGAGUACUGGUUGCAGAACUGUCCUUUUUUUACAUAGGUAUUUGGUAUUGAAUAUUCCUCUGAUUCUGAAAUUAGGUCUUCCAGAAAAAUAGAAAGGAAAAUGUUCAUUAUUGACCAUGCAUCAUAAAAGUCCUCUGCAUAUCAAUUAUAUUGGCUUUGGCUUUUUAUGCAUUAGCAAAUCCCGUUGCAGGUGUAGAGUGUUAUUGAAUAGGGACAAUUUUACUGACUUCAGUCAAAGCAUUACCAGACUCAUUUUCUGAUGUGGACAGAAAAAUAAAAAAAAAAAAUUUGGAGACCCCUACCAUUUAUAUAAUGAGAUCAUUUUAAACCUGUUGUCUUAUCAUCUUAAAAUAAAUUCUCUUCCAUAAAAGAGAUAUAAAAGAGAUGUAGGAGAGUGUUACAGAAGCCUGCCUCAUCUUUUAACUUCUCAUAAGCUGCAGACACUGAAUUUGCCAAAAAUCUUGCCUUAAACCUGUGUUAUUUGGAUAGUAUUUUUAGAAAUAAAAGACCAGUUUUAAAGUUGCAACAUAGUUAUUUUAAGACAUAUAGCUCAGUGGAGGAAUAUCCACCUUCGAUAUCAUCAGAUUUCUGCUGAAUAAUGAGUGACACCAGUACCUGACAUCCUAAUGGAUAAAAUUAGACAUCUUAAACCUCACAGGUCUAUCUCAAUUUCCCAGUUUGGUCCUAAUUUUUGUAUACUAUGUUAAUUUGUUUCAGGUCAGUUUAAUUUAAAGAAAAUGAUGUAAAGAAAUGUUGUUUCUUUCUGCAGCUAUGCAGAUAUCCAGUAAAUACACCCAGGCUCUCCUCUACCAGGGUCCAAAUUUCCUGUUCAUCAUGUUUCAGCAGUUGUGAAACAAGCUUCCCUGUGGACUGCAAGCUUUCCAUCCUUUCCAUACGUGGCUACUCCAAUAAAACAAGGUCUGCUUCUGGACUGUUCCACAAGUAACCUGGGCUUUGCUUCUCAGAAUAACACAGGCAGGUGCUUGACACCAAUAGAUCUGCAGUCAUGGUGUUUAGUGGAAUUUGAAUAGGUGCUCAUGUGCCUUGGACAAGAGAGAAUGAAACACAUGCAAUCAAAGAAGAGCAUUUCCAGAAGCCAGGGAGCUGAGGAAAAAGCUCUGGCAUUGCCAGUCGAGGAUGCUCAAGAUAUCAGCAAGUUUUGUCUCUGGAAUUAAGGUACACAUUGACUCCAAGCCUAUGGGAUAUGCCUGUCGCUGCUCCAGCACCACCUACUAAAUACAUUUCUUGGAAGGAGAUAAGCUCAUUAUAAAAAAAUUGUAUCCUCCCCAGAAUAUCCUUUUUCACAGGGAUUUCACA
Molecule: non-coding RNA, 3092 nt
Organism: Taeniopygia guttata (zebra finch)
Lineage: Eukaryota; Metazoa; Chordata; Aves; Passeriformes; Estrildidae
Source: RefSeq, a predicted model, not a curated record